Molecule: ribosomal RNA, 1707 nt
Filed under: Limnohalacarus mamillatus
Lineage: Eukaryota; Metazoa; Arthropoda; Arachnida; Trombidiformes; Halacaridae
Description: SSU rRNA
Rfam family: Eukaryotic small subunit ribosomal RNA
Source: RNAcentral
GCCAUGCAUGCUCUAAGUACAUACCUACCUAAGGUGAAACCGCGAAUGGCUCAUUAAAUCAGUUACGGUUCCUUAGAUGUUAACAAUCUACAUGGAUAACUGUGGUAAUUCUAGAGCUAAUACGUGCACAAAAGAUUCGACCCUACGGGAAGAAUCGCAUUUAUUAGACCAAGACCAAUGGGGUCCUUCGGGAUUCCUUUGAAUGGUGACUCUGAAUAACUGAGCUAAUCGCAUGGCCUCAGCGCCGGCGAUGAAUCUUUCAAGUGUCUGCCUUAUCAACUUUCGAUGGUAGGUUAUGCGCCUACCAUGGUUGUAACGGGUAACGGGGAAUCAGGGUUCGAUUCCGGAGAGGGAGCCUGAGAAACGGCUACCACAUCCAAGGAAGGCAGCAGGCACGCAAAUUACCCACUCCCAGAACGGGGAGGUAGUGACGAAAAAUAACAAUACGGGACUCUAAUGAGGCCCCGUAAUUGGAAUGAGUACAGAAUAAAUCCUUUAACGAGGAUCUAUUGGAGGGCAAGUCUGGUGCCAGCAGCCGCGGUAAUUCCAGCUCCAAUAGCGUAUAUUAAAGUUGUUGCGGUUAAAAAGCUCGUAGUUGGAUCUCAGUCCAUGCUAUGUGGUCCACUUGUUGUGGUUACUACUUAGCUGGACAUUUUACAGACCUGUCUUCUGAUGCUCUUCACCGGGUGUCAGUAGCGAUCUGUACGUUUACUUUGAAAAAAUUAGAGUGCUUAAAGCAGGCGUAACGCCCGAAUAAUCUUGCAUGGAAUAAUGGAAUAGGACCUCGGUUCUAUUUUAUUGGUCUUCGGAAUCUGAGGUAAUGAUUAAGAGGGACAGACGGGGGCAUUCGUAUUGCGGCGCUAGAGGUGAAAUUCUUGGACCGUCGCAAGACGAACUACAGCGAAAGCAUUUGCCAAGAAUGUUUUCAUUAAUCAAGAACGAAAGUUAGAGGUUCGAAGGCGAUCAGAUACCGCCCUAGUUCUAACCAUAAACGAUGCCAACCAGCGAUCAGCCUGAGUUCUUUAAAUGACUCGGCUGGCAGCUUCCGGGAAACCAAAGUUUUUCGGUUCCGGGGGAAGUAUGGUUGCAAAGCUGAAACUUAAAGGAAUUGACGGAAGGGCACCACCAGGAGUGGAGCCUGCGGCUUAAUUUGACUCAACACGGGAAAACUUACCCGGCCCGGACACUGGGAGGAUUGACAGAUUGAGAGCUCUUUCUUUGAUUCAGUGGGUGGUGGUGCAUGGCCGUUCUUAGUUGGUGGAGCGAUUUGUCUGGUUAAUUCCGAUAACGAACGAGACUCUAGCCUACUAAAUAGACCGUUGACUCAUUUUGCGUUAACGGGACUUCUUAGAGGGACAGGCGGCGAUUCAGCCGCACGAAACAGAGCAAUAACAGGUCUGUGAUGCCCUUAGAUGUCCGGGGCCGCACGCGCGCUACACUGAAGUAAGCAGCGUGCAUAGGUAACCCGCUCUGACAAGAGUGGGUAACCCAAUGAACCUUCUUCGUGAUAGGGACUGGGCAUUGUAAUUAUUGCCCAUGAACGAGGAAUUCCCAGUAAGCGUGAGUCAUAAGCUCGCGUUGAUUACGUCCCUGCCCUUUGUACACACCGCCCGUCGCUACUACCGAUUGAAUGAUUUAGUGAGGACUUCGGACUAGUCGGUGCAGCUGCCUUUCGGUGGCCGCGCUGUGCCGGAAAGAUGUCCAAAC